GCCCAGCACCGAAUCCUGUACCGUCUUGGUACUAGGAAAUGUGGUGUUUAGGCCGUGCUUUGUGCUGGUACGACUCUCCUCAAGUCCACUUGAUUGUGGCUUCAGGCCCAGAGAGGGUGUAAGGCCCGUGGAGGCGAGUUGUCUGGUGCCCGGCACGUCCUUAGAGUCGGGUUGUUUGGGAAUGCAGCCCUAAGCGGGUGGUAAACUCCAUCCAAGGCUAAAUACUAGCACGAGUCCGAUAGCGAAGAAGUACCGCGAGGGAAAGUUGAAAAGAACUUUGAAGAGAGAGUUCAAGAGUACGUGAAACCGCUGAGAGGCAAACUGGUGGAGCUGAAAUGGCUUUGAGGAAUUCAGCCCUUCGCGCGAUUGAUGAUGCUGGUUGUGGGAUCUCACGACUCCGCCGGUGUUAUUCGUUUGCGUGAUAGGUGCACUUUCCUCUUAGUCGGACCACGACCAGCGAACUGUCUUGUCUAAGAUUUGUGGAAGGUAGCUUUCGCUUCGGCGAAAGUGUUAUAGCCACUCAUUUGGAGCGAGCGGUGCGUUGGAUAACUUGAUGCCUGCCCUUUGGGCUCGUACGUUGACUUCUUUCUACGGUGUUUCCGGCUUCACUGCCUCGGCAGGGGUGUUGGGGAUACUGUGGCUCGAGUUGGCCUCUGCGAUUGGCGUCUACAGUCAGUGGUUUCGAAGUAGGCAGUCCACCUGACCCGUCUUGAAACACGGACCAAGGAGUCUAACAUGUGCGCGAGUCAUUGGGCUCUACGAAACCUAAAGGCGCAGUGAAAGUGAAGAUCCAUUUUGGUGGAUUGAGGUAGGAUCCUGGGUUACGUGCUCAGGCGCACUACCGGCCCGUUCGACAUGUCUUCAUGCGGGCGGAGCAAGAGCGUACACGUUGGGACCCGAAAGAUGGUGAACUAUGCUUGCGCAGGUCGAAGCCAGAGG
Molecule: ribosomal RNA, 939 nt
Filed under: Imogine zebra
Lineage: Eukaryota; Metazoa; Platyhelminthes; Polycladida; Stylochidae
Description: partial large subunit ribosomal RNA
Rfam family: Eukaryotic large subunit ribosomal RNA
Source: RNAcentral